This 409-nucleotide long non-coding RNA is filed under the name Malus domestica (apple). RNAcentral describes it as "long non-coding RNA (MDOM_LNC009842)". Lineage: Eukaryota; Viridiplantae; Streptophyta; Magnoliopsida; Rosales; Rosaceae. The record is from RNAcentral.
CCCGGUGGUGCCUCUUUCUAUUUGAGUUUGAGUUGGGGAUGGUGGACAAUGAGCAAUUCGGAGAUUUAUCGCAGUGCAAUUUGUCAUUUCCACAGACCACCUAUAAUAUUGGCUUACAUUUUUCUUAUUUUUUCUUUGCCUAUAUUAUUGUUUAUUUCCAAGAUUUGAGUUUGUCAUUCAGAAGAGAUGCUUCAUUCAGAGAAUUGAAAUUUCUCAAAUCUUUGUUAAUAGUUGUAUCCCUUGCAGAAGGAUUUAAUUUUCUUGGAUGUCUACUUUUGAGCUUUAAGUUUUCAUGUAUCCAGCAUUACUAGACCAAAAAAAGCGCAGUGUCGUGGAGUAAUUAGGACUGUCUCUGUUCCUUUUUAUUUUAUUUUUUAUGUUGAAUUGACAAGUGGUUUUAAAUAAUGGA